AUGUUAGCUUGCAUGGAUACUGUGUUACAGAAAUGUUUUGAACAAUCAGGUACUAUCAAGAUUGUCGAGAAACUGGAAGUUCUGUACCACAAAGAACUAGCUAAAGUUCAUGAGAUGAUUGAAGCAAUGAAAGAGUGCAUGAUAACUGAAGGUGUUAAGCAAGGUGCUAGGCUUGCAGACUAUUAUGAUAGUAUAACUAUAAUGGGAGUUAAUUUUCCCAUCACACCAGAAAAUGACUUACUCCUCACUCCGCUUUAUGAAGCAAUGCUCAAAACCAAUGAGACUGGUUGCAGAACCAACAAAAGUUAUUGGUGA
This 315-nucleotide ribosomal RNA is filed under the name Triticum aestivum (bread wheat). RNAcentral describes it as "partial small subunit ribosomal RNA". Lineage: Eukaryota; Viridiplantae; Streptophyta; Magnoliopsida; Poales; Poaceae. The record is from RNAcentral.